GACAGAGGGUGCAAACGUUGUUCGGAAUUACUGGGCGUAAAGCGCGUGUAGGCGGCCAUCUAAGUCGGGCGUGAAAUCCCACGGCUCAACCGUGGAAGUGCACUCGAAACUGGAUGGCUAGAGUCCUGGAGAGGAAGGUGGAAUGCUUGGUGUAGAGGUGGAAUUCGUAGAUAUCAAGCGGAACACCGGUGGCGAAGGCGGCAUCCUGGACCGACAUUGACGCUGAGGCGCGAAAGCCAGGGGAGCAAACAGG
Molecule: ribosomal RNA, 253 nt
Filed under: uncultured bacterium
Lineage: Bacteria
Description: partial 16S ribosomal RNA
Rfam family: Bacterial small subunit ribosomal RNA
Source: RNAcentral